Long non-coding RNA from Homo sapiens (human), 1643 nucleotides. Ensembl annotates it as long intergenic non-protein coding RNA 343. The record is from Ensembl. Lineage: Eukaryota; Metazoa; Chordata; Mammalia; Primates; Hominidae.
GUGAAUGAAUUUGAAAGGGGUGUAACACUGUUCUACUUUGUUUACUCCUCAGUACCCUUGGCUGUGUACAUUUGAGUAAAGAGAGCACUAUAAAAUCAAAAACCAAUGAAAUGGUUUCCAGAACACAGAACUAUUAAGCUUAAGAAAAGGACAGAAGGAACUGAAGAGAGAGGAACUGUUUUGGAGCAUCACACUUCCACCUCAGAAGAAAUAAGGAAGGAAGGAGGAGGGUGUUCCCACGGCUCUUCAACCAGGCCGGCUCUUCAGCCUACAUCCCCAUCUCAUCAAGUAAAAGGGAUUUUUCAACUGGACCAACCAGAUGGUUUAACAGUGCACUCCCACACCAUUCAACUACGCAAGGGAGAUACACUUAACAUAUGCAGUCGUAUAACACCUACUAACAUUUUCAAACAUUAAACCUUUAAAAAAGAGUUCUAAAGAAAUAGAAGCUUGAAGUAUCAUCUCUCAAGUAUAUAGACACUACUUCAUGGUGUGGUAAUAUAUGCAUAUAGAAGCUAGUAAACACCUCCAGGAGAUGCAAAAGGAAUUAGAACUGCCACAAGGUGCAAGCAAAACCUUGAGGUAAUCAAUCUGCAUCCCAUUUUGGAUGAGAAUAUUUGCAACUUUGAAGGUUAUUUUAAGGACAGCAGCAGAAGAAUUAUGGCAGGUAUCUGAAAUUCAUUUCUGUGCUUUGCCGAGGACCCAUGGGAUGCCAUUUGCAGAUGAGAAAACUAAAGAAUAGCUUUAUCUUCCAGCUCUUCACGGAAAAAAAAAUGGCAACAAUAAAAUCAGCAACUCCUGCCAAAUAAAUGGGCAUAAAAAAGAAAUCAUAGACUGCUGGCAAUGGUGGGGAAAAAGUUAUAAAAAUUGUCUCUGCACCAUCUUCCUUUUGUCCUCUAAAAUAUUCACAUUAGCAAAAGUAUAUAACAGCUGAUGAAGAAAUACUGAUAAUUUGUCUUUCUUCUUUAAAAUAUGAAGACUUCGAAGUUAUUUAUCCAAACCAACCUGAUCAUUUCUUAAGAGUGAAUAUACCUUGGAAGACGUGUCCUGCCUUUAGUAGCGUCACAAUGGAUUACAUCCUCUAUAAAGCAGUCUGGGAUAUUCUGCCCAAUCAGAGGCUAACAUCUGCCACAAGACAAAUAUGGUGCCUGCCCCCAUGGAGCUCAUAUUCGAAUGGAGAAAAUGUCAACAAGUAUCCCACGGAGUGAACACUUCAAAAGGAGAAGCACAGGUGAGAAAAUCGAAUUUGGACACCGUUGAGGAGACUAUUGCAGUCAUCCAAGCUCAAGAUGGUGGAGCUUCAUCCUUGAGAAUAACCAAUGGGGAUAGAUUUAAGAGACACUUAGAGUCUGCAGCCAACAGGGCUGAAUGAGCAGAGAGUUAUGAUUCAGAAGAUCAUCUAAAAUUGAACAGCUGCCACUACUGGCAAUAAGUCUACUGCCAUUUGGUAGAUAACCUUCUUAUCACACAGAAAAAUAUCAGUACAGACAAAUAGACCGCAAAGAAAAUGAGACCAUCAGCAAAGAAGAUAAAGAAGUUUGUACAAAGCAACUUUUUAUAAAUGGAUGGCUGUCAGGCAAAAAUAAAUUUCCUGUGGACAAGACCAAGAGCAAGGCAAGAGGAAAAUAAACAUGUUUAAACUA